UCGUUCUGCGUGCAGGCUUCGACAAUGAUCCCUUCCGUAGGUGAACCUGCGGAAGGAUCAUUGUCGAAGCCUGCACAGCAGAACGACCCGUGAACAUGUAAUCACAACCGGGCGUCGUGGGAUUGGGUGUGAGCCUUAGCCCUACGAUGCUCGUCGGCAUGCGUGCAAGGUGCUUAUCUCUAGGCAUCGUGGAUGUUGUGUCGGCACAAAAACAAACCCCGGCACGGCAUGUGCCAAGGAAAACAAAACUUAAGAAGGGUGCGUCUCGUGUUGCCCCGUUUUCGGUGUGCACACGGGUCGUGGCCUCUCAUUAACCACAAACGACUCUCGGCAACGGAUAUCUCGGCUCACGCAUCGAUGAAGAACGUAGCAAAAUGCGAUACUUGGUGUGAAUUGCAGAAUCCCGUGAACCAUCGAGUUUUUGAACGCAAGUUGCGCCCGAAGCCAUUCGGCCGAGGGCACGUCUGCCUGGGCGUCACGCAUCGCGUCGCCCCAGACCAUGCUCCCCCAUGGGGACGUGUUUGGUCUGGGACGGAGACUGGUCUCCCGUGCUCAUGGUGCGGUUGGCCUAAAAAGGAGUCCCCUUUGGCGGACGCACGGCUAGUGGUGGUUGUCAAGGCCUUCGUAUCGAGCCGUGUUGAUGCUAGGGAAUCGCUCUCUAAAGACCCUAACGUGUCGUCUUUACGACGAUGCUUCGACCGCGACCCCAGGUCAGGCGGGACUACCCGCUGAGUUUAAGCAUAUCAAUAAGCGGAGGAAGGAUCAUUGUCGAAGCCUUACGCAUAAGAC
This 789-nucleotide ribosomal RNA is filed under the name Carthamus lanatus. RNAcentral describes it as "eukaryotic LSU rRNA". The stretch from base 323 to 478 matches the Rfam family "5.8S ribosomal RNA". Lineage: Eukaryota; Viridiplantae; Streptophyta; Magnoliopsida; Asterales; Asteraceae. The record is from RNAcentral.